GCGUAACGAUUUGGGCAAUGACUCAACAACAGACUCAGUAAAAUUGUAAUUCCGGUGAAGAAGCCGGAUACCUGCGACAGGACGGAAAGACCCCAUGGAGCUAUACUGUAGCUUGACAUUGGGUCUUGGUACUACAAGUACAGGAUAGGUGGGAGGCUUUGAAACCAGGACGCCAGUUUUGGCGGAGCAAUACUUGGGAUACCACCCUUGUAGUACUGGGACACUAACCAUAGGCCAUGAAUCUGGUCUUGGGACACUGUCAGGUGGGCAGUUUGACUGGGGCGGUCGCCUCCCCACAGGUCACGUAGGCGCUCAAAGGUUCACUCAGGCAGGUCGGAACUCGUACGUCAG
This 351-nucleotide ribosomal RNA is filed under the name Clostridioides difficile. RNAcentral's name for it is "bacterial LSU rRNA". It matches the Rfam family "Bacterial large subunit ribosomal RNA", at positions 1999 to 2347 of the family's 2925-position model. Lineage: Bacteria; Bacillati; Bacillota; Clostridia; Peptostreptococcales; Peptostreptococcaceae. The record is from RNAcentral.